This 312-nucleotide unclassified non-coding RNA is filed under the name Hevea brasiliensis (rubber tree). The record is from RNAcentral. Lineage: Eukaryota; Viridiplantae; Streptophyta; Magnoliopsida; Malpighiales; Euphorbiaceae.
AUUUGAUUUUUCCGUCUCUAUUGGAUCGGUUUCGCUUCUGAUACUCUGAAGCAAAAUCAAAGUCCAUUUGGUUUCCGAUUAUGUGGAAGAAAAUCAAAGAAAUUAGUGCAUGAACUCUGUAUGGAGAGGGGCAUCUCUUGGAUAACACAAGUUAAAUUGAUAAGUUUUUGUUAAUACAUAUUAUAAUUUACGACUUAAAGCUUCAAAAAAUCUGUUUGUUAGCUGAUGGUGAUGCAUGAUAUUCUCCAUAUUUUUGCAAUUUCCUUUUGAAUGGUGAUUGCUGAUAAUGAAUCGAUGUGUCCAAAUUAAUUG